This is a long non-coding RNA of Etheostoma spectabile (orangethroat darter), 347 nucleotides long. RefSeq lists it as uncharacterized. The transcript has 3 exons. The record is from RefSeq and is a predicted model, not a curated record. Lineage: Eukaryota; Metazoa; Chordata; Actinopteri; Perciformes; Percidae.
CAGAAACACUGAAACACUCAGAGGUCCCCAUAAACACUGAAACACUCAGACGUCCCCAUAAACACUGAAACACUCAGAGGUCCCCACAAACACUGAAACACUCAGAGGUCCCCAUAAACACUGAAACACUCAGAGGUCCCCAUAAACACUGAAACACUCAGAGGUCCCCACAAACACUGAAACACUCAGAGGUCCCCAUAAACACUGAAACACUCAGAGGUCCUCAUAAACACUGAAACACUCAGAGGACCCCAUAAACACUGAAACACUCAGAGGUCCCCAUAAACACUGAAACACUCAGAGGUCCCCACAAACACAGAAACACUGAAACACUCAGAGGUCCCCAC